AGUGAACGCUGGCGGUAGGCCUAACACAUGCAAGUCGAACGGCAGCACAGUAAGAGCUUGCUCUUACGGGUGGCGAGUGGCGGACGGGUGAGGAAUACAUCGGAAUCUACUUUUUCGUGGGGGAUAACGUAGGGAAACUUACGCCAAUACCGCAUACGACCUACGGGUGAAAGCAGGGGAUCUUCGGACCUUGCGCGAUUGAAUGAGCCGAUGUCGGAUUAGCUAGUUGGCGGGGUAAAGGCCCACCAAGGCGACGAUCCGUAGCUGGUCUGAGAGGAUGAUCAGCCACACUGGAACUGAGACACGGUCCAGACUCUUACGGGAGGCAGCAGUGGGGAAUAUUGGACAAUGGGCGCAAGCCUGAUCCAGCCAUACCGCGUGGGUGAAGAAGGCCUUCGGGUUGUAAAGCCCUUUUGUUGGGAAAGAAAAGCAGCAGGUUAAUACCCCGCUGUUCUGACGGUACCCAAAGAAUAAGCAUCGGCUAACUUCGUG
Molecule: ribosomal RNA, 492 nt
Filed under: uncultured bacterium
Lineage: Bacteria
Description: partial 16S ribosomal RNA
Rfam family: Bacterial small subunit ribosomal RNA
Source: RNAcentral